This 253-nucleotide ribosomal RNA is filed under the name uncultured bacterium. RNAcentral's name for it is "partial 16S ribosomal RNA". It matches the Rfam family "Bacterial small subunit ribosomal RNA", at positions 524 to 776 of the family's 1533-position model. The record is from RNAcentral.
UACGUCGGUGGCAAGCGUUAUCCGGAUUUACUGGGUGUAAAGGGCGUGUAGGCGGGGAAGCAAGUCAGAUGUGAAAACCACGGGCUCAACCUGUGGCCUGCAUUUGAAACUGUUUUUCUUGAGUGCUGGAGAGGCAAUCGGAAUUCCGUGUGUAGCGGUGAAAUGCGUAGAUAUACGGAGGAACACCAGUGGCGAAGGCGGAUUGCUGGACAGUAACUGACGCUGAGGCGCGAAAGCGUGGGGAGUAAACAGG